GAUGAAGAACGCAGCGAAAUGCGAUACGUAAUGUGAAUUGCAGAAUUCAGUGAAUCAUCGAAUCUUUGAACGCAUAUUGCGCUCUCUGGUAUUCCGGAGAGCAUGCUUGUUUGAGUAUCAGUAAACACCUCAACUUCCAUAUCUUUUUUGAAAUGGGAGUUGGACUUGAGUGAUCCCAACGCUUUUCCUCACCGAAAAGUGGCGGGUUACUUGAAAUGCAGGUGCAGCUGGACUUUUCUCUGAGCUAUAAGCAUAUCUAUUUAGACUGCCUAAAAAACAGAUUAUUACCUGUGCUGCAGCUAACAUAAAGGAGAUUAGUUCUUGUGCUGACUGAUGCAGGAUUCACAAAGACAGGCUGCGGCCGACUUUGUAAACUCGAUCUCAAAUCAAGUAAGACUACCCGCUGAACUUAAGCAUAUCAAUAAGCGGAGGA
RNAcentral lists this unclassified non-coding RNA (433 nucleotides) under soil metagenome. Its description in RNAcentral is "partial contains 5.8S ribosomal RNA, internal transcribed spacer 2, and large subunit ribosomal RNA". The stretch from base 1 to 120 matches the Rfam family "5.8S ribosomal RNA", at positions 35 to 154 of the family's 154-position model. The record is from RNAcentral.